Molecule: ribosomal RNA, 439 nt
Filed under: uncultured bacterium
Lineage: Bacteria
Description: bacterial SSU rRNA
Rfam family: Bacterial small subunit ribosomal RNA
Source: RNAcentral
ACUCCUACGGGAGGCAGCAGUGGGGAAUAUUGCACAAUGGGGGAAACCCUGAUGCAGCCAUGCCGCGUGUGUGAAGAAGGCCUUCGGGUUGUAAAGCACUUUCAGUAGGGAGGAAGGUAGUGUAGUUAACACCUGCACUAUUUGACGUUACCUACAGAAGAAGCACCGGCUAACUCCGUGCCAGCAGCCGCGGUAAUACGGAGGGUGCGAGCGUUAAUCGGAAUUACUGGGCGUAAAGCGCAUGCAGGCGGCCUGUUAAGUCAGAUGUGAAAGCCCGGGGCUUAACCUCGGAAUUGCAUUUGAAACUGGCAGGCUAGAGUCUUGUAGAGGGGGGUAGAAUUUCAGGUGUAGCGGUGAAAUGCGUAGAGAUCUGAAGGAAUACCAGUGGCAAGGCGGCCCCCUGGACAAAGACUGACGCUCAGAUGCGAAAGCUGGGGGA